GGAUCAUUACAGAGUUCUAAAAGACUCCCAAAACCAUUGUGAACGUACCCGUCAGCGUUGCCUCGGCGGGCGGCCCCUCCCUGGGGCCGCUGCCUCCCUCGGGGGGUGCCCGCCGGCGUACCAAAACUCUUUUGUAUUUUUAGUGGCCUCUCUGAGAAAACAAGCAAAUAAGUUAAAACUUUCAACAACGGAUCUCUUGGUUCUGGCAUCGAUGAAGAACGCAGCGAAAUGCGAUAAGUAAUGUGAAUUGCAGAAUUCAGUGAAUCAUCGAAUCUUUGAACGCACAUUGCGCCCGCCAGUACUCUGGCGGGCAUGCCUGUUCGAGCGUCAUUUCAACCCUCAAGCCCUGCUUGGUGUUGGGGUCCUACGGCUGCCGUAGGCCCUGAAAGCUAGUGGCGGGCUCGCUAUAACUCCGAGCGUAGUAGUAAAAUAUCUCGCUAGGGAGGUGUCGCGGGUUCCGGCCGUGAAAGCCCAUCUUUUACACAAGGUUGACCUCGGAUCAGGUAGGAAUACCCGCUGAACUUAAGCAUAUCAAUAAGCGGAGGAAAAGAAACCAACAGGGAUUGCCCCAGUAACGGCGAGUGAAGCGGCAACAGCUCAAAUUUGAAAUCUGGCUUCGGCCCGAGUUGUAAUUUGUAGAGGAUGCUUUUGGUGAGGUGCCUUCUGAGUUCCCUGGAACGGGACGCCAGAGAGGGUGAGAGCCCCGUAUAGUUGGACACCGAGCCUCUGUAAAGCUCCUUCGACGAGUCGAGUAGUUUGGGAAUGCUGCUCAAAAUGGGAGGUAUAUCUCUUCUAAAGCUAAAUACUGGCCAGAGACCGAUAGCGCACAAGUAGAGUGAUCGAAAGAUGAAAAGCACUUUGAAAAGAGGGUUAAAUAGUACGUGAAAUUGUUGAAAGGGAAGCGCUUGUGACCAGACUUGUGCCCGGCUGAUCAUCCAGUGUUCUCACUGGUGCACUCUGCCGGGCUCAGGCCAGCGUCGGUUCUCGCAGGGGGACAAAAGCUUCGGGAACGUAGCUCCUCCGGGAGUGUUAUAGCCCGUUGCUCAAUACCCCUGCGGGGACCGAGGU
This 1068-nucleotide ribosomal RNA is filed under the name Sordariomycetes sp. genotype 9. Its description in RNAcentral is "eukaryotic LSU rRNA". The stretch from base 490 to 1068 matches the Rfam family "Eukaryotic large subunit ribosomal RNA", at positions 1 to 592 of the family's 3401-position model. The record is from RNAcentral. Lineage: Eukaryota; Fungi; Ascomycota; Sordariomycetes.